RNAcentral lists this ribosomal RNA (200 nucleotides) under uncultured bacterium. RNAcentral's name for it is "partial 16S ribosomal RNA". It matches the Rfam family "Bacterial small subunit ribosomal RNA", at positions 8 to 204 of the family's 1533-position model. The record is from RNAcentral.
AGAGUUUGAUCCUGGCUCAGGACGAACGCUGGCGGCGUGCCUAAUACAUGCAAGUCGAGCGGAUCACUAGGAGCUUGCUCCUGGUGGUUAGCGGCGGACGGGUGAGUAACACGUGGGCAACCUGCCUGUAAGACUGGGAUAACUUCGGGAAACCGGAGCUAAUACCGGAUAAUCCUUUUCCUCUCAUGAGGAAAAGCUGA